RNAcentral lists this ribosomal RNA (482 nucleotides) under uncultured bacterium. RNAcentral describes it as "partial 16S ribosomal RNA". It matches the Rfam family "Bacterial small subunit ribosomal RNA", at positions 30 to 507 of the family's 1533-position model. The record is from RNAcentral.
AUUGAACGCUGGCGGCAUGCCUUACACAUGCAAGUCGAACGGUAACGGGCCUUCGGGUGCCGACGAGUGGCGAACGGGUGAGUAAUACAUCGGAACGUGCCCGAUCGUGGGGGAUAACGAGGCGAAAGCUUUGCUAAUACCGCAUACGAUCUACGGAUGAAAGCAGGGGACCGCAAGGCCUUGCGCGGACGGAGCGGCCGAUGGCAGAUUAGGUAGUUGGUGGGAUAAAAGCUUACCAAGCCGACGAUCUGUAGCUGGUCUGAGAGGAUGAUCAGCCACACUGGGACUGAGACACGGCCCAGACUCCUACGGGAGGCAGCAGUGGGGAAUUUUGGACAAUGGGCGCAAGCCUGAUCCAGCCAUGCCGCGUGCAGGAUGAAGGCCUUCGGGUUGUAAACUGCUUUUGUACGGAACGAAAAGCCUUCUUUUAAUGCAGGAGGGUCAUGACGGUACCGUAAGAAUAAGCACCGGCUAACUACGUG